Molecule: ribosomal RNA, 492 nt
Filed under: uncultured bacterium
Lineage: Bacteria
Description: partial 16S ribosomal RNA
Rfam family: Bacterial small subunit ribosomal RNA
Source: RNAcentral
AGUGAACGCUGGCGGUAGGCCUAACACAUGCAAGUCGAACGGCAGCACAGUAAGAGCUUGCUCUUACGGGUGGCGAGUGGCAGACGGGUGCGGAAUACAUCGGAAUCUACUUUUUCGUGGGGGAUAACUUAGGGAAACUUACGCUAAUAACACAUACGACCUACGGGUGAAAGCAGGGGAGCUUCGGACCUUGCGCGGUGGAAUGAUACGGUGCCGGAUUAGCUAGUUGGCGGGGGAAAGACUCACCAAGUGGACGAUCCGUAGCUGGUCUGAGAGGAUGAUCAGACAUACUGGAAGAGAGACACGGGCCAGACUGCGACGGGGGGAAGCAGUGGGGAACAUUGGAAGAUGGGAGCAAGGAAGAUCCAGCCAUGCGGGGUAGGUGAAGAAGGCAUUCGGGUUGUAAAGCACUUGUGUUGGGAAAGAAAAGCAGCAGGUUAAUACCACGAUGUACUGACGGUACCCAAAGAAUAAGCACCGGCUAACUUCGUG